This 895-nucleotide ribosomal RNA is filed under the name Bilimbia sabuletorum. Its description in RNAcentral is "SSU rRNA". It matches the Rfam family "Bacterial small subunit ribosomal RNA", at positions 370 to 1298 of the family's 1533-position model. Lineage: Eukaryota; Fungi; Ascomycota; Lecanoromycetes; Lecanorales; Ramalinaceae. The record is from RNAcentral.
AAUAGUCUAACGACUGAACCAGCAACUUGGAGGAAUGAAUAGCGGUAGCUAAUUGCACUACCUCGUAGUGUAAUAUCGACUAUGUUGAAUAAAAUUCUGGGUAAAAUUAUGAUAAUGACAUUGUUUACCUAUGUGUCUUGACCAAAUUACGUGCCAGCAGUCGCGGUAAUACGUAGAAGACUAGUGUUAUUCAUCUUUAAUAGGUUUAAAGGGUACCUAGACGGUAAAUCAAGCCCUUGCGUAGCAAGAUGGGACUAAUUUGCUAGAGUUACUUACAAGGAGGCUAUAAAGUACUAAUGGUGUAGAGAUGAAAUUUUGUAAUACCAUUUUCCAAAAGGAAAGUUAUGGCACUGAUAAAGGCGAAAGCAUCCUCUUAUGUGAUAACUGACGUUGAGGGACGAAGGCUUUGGAUCGCGAAUAGGAUUAGAUACCCUAGUAGUCAAAGCAGACAAUGAUGAGUGUCAUAGAUUAGAUAUUUAGGUUUAUUCUAUAAAUGAAAGUGUAAGCACUCCACCUCAAGAGUAAUUUGGCAACAUUGGAACUGAAAUCAUUAGACCGUUUCUGAAACCAGUAGUGAAGUAUGUUGUUUAAUUUGAUAAUCCGCAAAAAACCUUACCACAACUUGAAUAGAGAUAUAUAUCAUAUUUUUACAAGCGUUGCACGGCUGUCUACAGUUAAUGUCGUGAGACUUUGGUUAGAUCCAUUAAAUUAACGCAAGCCCUUACUUUAUUUUUAAAUAAAGUCGUUCUCCGCUAUAUUGGAUAUGAUAACAGGGACUAAGACAAGUCAUCAUGGCCUUAAUGUUGUGGGCUAUAGACGUGCCACAUAGACCUUUACAAAAGGAUGUGAAAUUGUGAAAUUAAGCUAAUCCCCCAAAACUGGAUAUAAUCUUAAU